GAUGAACGCUGGCGGCGUGCCUAAUACAUGCAAGUCGAGCGAACGGACGAGAAGCUUGCUUCUCUGAUGUUAGCGGCGGACGGGUGAGUAACACGUGGAUAACCUACCUAUAAGACUGGGAUAACUUCGGGAAACCGGAGCUAAUACCGGAUGAUAUUUUGAACCGCAUGGUUCAAAAGUGAAAGACGGUCUUGCUGUCACUUAUAGAUGGAUCCGCGCUGCAUUAGCUAGUUGGUAAGGUAACGGCUUACCAAGGCAACGAUGCAUAGCCGACCUGAGAGGAUGAUCGGCCACACUGGAACUGAGACACGGUCCAGACUCCUACGGGAGGCAGCAGUAGGGAAUCUUCCGCAAUGGGCGAAAGCCUGACGGAACAACGCCGCGUGAGUGAUGAAGGUCUUCGGAUCGUAAAACUCUGUUAUUAGGGAAGAACAUAUGUGUAAGUAACUGUGCACAUCUUGACGGUACCUAAUCAGAAAGCCACGGCUAACUACGUG
Molecule: ribosomal RNA, 497 nt
Filed under: uncultured bacterium
Lineage: Bacteria
Description: partial 16S ribosomal RNA
Rfam family: Bacterial small subunit ribosomal RNA
Source: RNAcentral